UAUAAAGAAAGAUGUUAGUGCUGCUCUUACUUACGUCCACAAUGCCUCCCACCAUCCAUGCUAGCUGUGAUAUUUGGCUCAGUCAUCCUACCCACCAUGUUCCACAACAGUAAAAGCCCUGACGCUGAGCCCACCGGCACCCUCUCUGCAACUGUAAGAGGCAACUGGAAUGGAAAAACAUUGUCUGUUCCUACUCAGCGAGGGGGAAAAAAAGAGCUGGAGCACAAGUCGGGGUGCAGCGCAUUUCCAUGUGAGACCCUGACAGCAUAUGGAGAUGCUCUGUAAAGAGAUUGCAGCACCAUCUGCUGGAAAAAGAAAAAGCCAAAGAAUGCAAGAAAAAGUGUGCAGGAGAAGUUGGAGGAUUGACGGGUGAAGGGAGAAUGUUUGGGGUCUAAUAACCGCGUCGGCCCCUCUUUCAUAGUCUGGUUUGGUGCUUUGGAUAAAAACACCUACACAAGUGCAUGCGGACGGCUGAGACAACGGAAAGUGCUGGAUGUCAGCAUCAUAACUCAACUUCGAAUCCCAAAUUACUAACUUGGAGAGGUUAAAGUCCACGGAGGCCUUUUUCCUCACAUCACAUUCAUAACUCCGACCACGAGACGUAUAAACAACCUUACGCUCUUGCCCUCAUUUCCUUCGGUGGAUCCUGUGGACAACUAAUAACGAGUUAAUCAGCCUGAUUGCACAUUCAUCACUGUGAUCUGUGUUUCUUUUUUUCAGCCGACGAGGGGAAGCAUGUUUUACUUGGGAAAUGAAAUAUUUAGUGACCUCUCGCAGUUGACCUUAGACUGGAGACAGAGGCCCUACAGCUGAGUAAACAGAAGGGCUGCAUAGUGGACAGGUAGCAACUAGUUGUUACCAUGGAUACAGAGUUAAUAGUCAAGACAUAAAAUAUGACUGUCUGUCUGAGCUCUUCUAUUUUUAAUUGUAAUAUAAAUGCGCUUUUCGUUUUGCUACAAAAUUGGACUAAAUAUGCAAAUAACAUAACUUUAAGCAGCAAGUAUAACUACUUUUUAUACAAUUUUGAGAAUUUGAGCUAUUCUCAUCAAUGGUUUUCAUUUAAGCCUCAACUGUAACCUCACUUCUUCCUUUUCAACGGACUUCGUGAGGUAAUGCGCAGUUUGGGAUUCUAGAAGUCAAUGAUGUGUCAUUUAUUCCUGAUGAUGUAAAUAAAUGCAGACAUUUGUAACGCUAGAGUGCAAAGUCCCACAGCACUUAGAUGCCGAGAACGAUGAAGAGUUACUACUGAAGUCCUCCUCGGUAAACCCACAUCACAAACACAUGCACAGCAGCCAAAGAACUUUGAGAAUUAAGAUCUUUACUCGGGGUCUAUUCAGCUAACUUCAAAGACAACAACAUGACCAGAGGGCUCAGGAGACGUUGGGAAAAUGAAGGGAAUCAAUAUCUUUAAAGAGGAAAGUGAGGGAAUUAUGUACAUGUGUAAUUCAAAAGGUAGGGAGGCUUUUAGAUGCAUUUGUUUUUCCUGCAGUAACGUCCAACAUGUAACUUGAAAAACCUUUCACAUUUGUAGAGAUCCAAGUUUGUUUUACUGAUCAUGCAAAGUUAUCGUUUUUGAGGCCCACAGCUGUACACGUAACACUGCAUAACAUUUUCAGGAUUCUCUGUAUUACUAUUUAACUGAGGUGUAUGUGGAAUAAUAAUUUACUUAUUUUCAAACACAUGUUCACAGUACCUUGAUUAAUUAAGAUAAUUCCAUCAUUGUUUCACAUCA
Long non-coding RNA from Gasterosteus aculeatus aculeatus (three-spined stickleback), 1732 nucleotides. NCBI's taxonomy places the organism in Eukaryota, Metazoa, Chordata, Actinopteri, Perciformes, Gasterosteidae. The record is from Ensembl.